GACGAACGCUGGCGGCGUGCCUAAUACAUGCAAGUUGAGCGAUGAAGAUUGGUGCUUGCACCAAUUUGAAGAGCAGCGAACGGGUGAGUAACGCGUGGGGAAUCUGCCUUUGAGCGGGGGACAACAUUUGGAAACGAAUGCUAAUACCGCAUAACAACUUUAAACAUAAGUUUUAAGUUUGAAAGAUGCAAUUGCAUCACUCAAAGAUGAUCCCGCGUUGUAUUAGCUAGUUGGUGAGGUAAAGGCUCACCAAGGCGAUGAUACAUAGCCGACCUGAGAGGGUGGUCGGCCACAUUGGGACUGAGACACGGCCCAAACUCCUACGGGAGGCAGCAGUAGGGGAUCUUCGGCAAUGGACGAAAGUCUUACCGAGCAACGCCGCGUGAGUGAAGAAGGUUUUCGGAUCGUAAAACUCUGUUGGUAGAGAAGAACGUUGGUGGGAGUGGAAAGCUCAUCAAGUGACGGUAACUACCCAGAAAGGGACGGCUAACUACGUG
Molecule: ribosomal RNA, 497 nt
Filed under: uncultured bacterium
Lineage: Bacteria
Description: partial 16S ribosomal RNA
Rfam family: Bacterial small subunit ribosomal RNA
Source: RNAcentral